RNAcentral lists this ribosomal RNA (489 nucleotides) under uncultured bacterium. Its description in RNAcentral is "partial 16S ribosomal RNA". It matches the Rfam family "Bacterial small subunit ribosomal RNA", at positions 29 to 507 of the family's 1533-position model. The record is from RNAcentral.
AUGCACGCUAGCUACAGGCUUAACACAUGCAAGUCGAGGGGCAGCAUGGUCUUAGCUUGCUAAGGCCGAUGGCGACCGGCGCACGGGUGAGUAACACGUAUCCAACCUGCCGUCUACUCUUGGACAGCCUUCUGAAAGGAAGAUUAAUACAAGAUGGCAUCAUGAGUCCGCAUGUUCACAUGAUUAAAGGUAUUCCGGUAGACGAUGGGGAUGCGUUCCAUUAGAUAGUAGGCGGGGUAACGGCCCACCUAGUCUUCGAUGGAUAGGGGUUCUGAGAGGAAGGUCCCCCACAUUGGAACUGAGACACGGUCCAAACUCCUACGGGAGGCAGCAGUGAGGAAUAUUGGUCAAUGGGCGCAGGCCUGAACCAGCCAAGUAGCGUGAAGGAUGACUGCCCUAUGGGUUGUAAACUUCUUUUAUAAAGGAAUAAAGUCGGGUAUGUAUACCCGUUUGCAUGUACUUUAUGAAUAAGGAUCGGCUAACUCCGUG